Molecule: non-coding RNA, 426 nt
Organism: Ahaetulla prasina
Lineage: Eukaryota; Metazoa; Chordata; Lepidosauria; Squamata; Colubridae
Source: the annotation of a RefSeq genome assembly
AUGAUCCUGUGGCUAAAUUUGGUUUCCUUCCUAGCUGUCCUCAGAGGUGUUAAACCUGAGGUCCAGUUGGUGGAGUCUGGAGGGGAAGUGAAAAGACCUGGACAGUCCCUUCAUCUCACCUGCCAAGCUUCUGGCUUCACUUUUAGCAGCUCUGCCAUGAACUGGGCGAGACAGUCUCCUGGGGAAGGACUGGAAUGGGUGGCAUACAUAAGCUCCGGUUCCAGUAGUAUUUACUACUCAGAUAAAGUGAAGGGGCGCUUCACCAUCUUCAGGGACAAUGCUAAAAGCCAGCUGUAUCUCCAAGUGAACAAUCUCAAACCUGAAGACACGGCAGUCUAUUACUGUGCAAGAGACACAAUGAGAGGAAGUGAAUCUGAAGCUUGGCAAAAACCUACCAUUCAUCAGAAGAGCCCUAUAACUCCAUGA